GACGUAGGGCGCGAGCGUUGUCCGGAUUUAUUGGGCGUAAAGAGCUCGUAGGCGGCUUGUCGCGUCGACUGUGAAAUCCCGCGGCUCAACUGCGGGUCUGCAGUCGAUACGGGCAGGCUAGAGUUCGGUAGGGGAGACUGGAAUUCCUGGUGUAGCGGUGAAAUGCGCAGAUAUCAGGAGGAACACCGAUGGCGAAGGCAGGUCUCUGGGCCGUAACUGACGCUGAGGAGCGAAAGCAUGGGGAGCGAACAGG
RNAcentral lists this ribosomal RNA (253 nucleotides) under uncultured bacterium. RNAcentral's name for it is "partial 16S ribosomal RNA". It matches the Rfam family "Bacterial small subunit ribosomal RNA", at positions 524 to 776 of the family's 1533-position model. The record is from RNAcentral.